CCUGGCUCCAGAACAUGACUUCAAGGCUCCAGGACAACCCUAUAAGAAUUCUCUCCUAAUGACUUUUCUUGAAGACCAUGUGGUUUUGACUAGACAACAAAGUGAGGACAAUUCUGAGUGCUGUCUCUGCCCCAAAGCCAGAUGAAACCUUUUUGGGGAGGCUGUGCAGGAAGGUGCUUACCUGACAGCACAGAAUUUUGAUCCUCUUUCCACUCUGGUCUCUAUGUUCACAGUAGAGUCUCACUAGGGCCUUUGUCAGGAACAAGUCAUCCUGCAUCUUUUGGUGGGACUUCGGAUCAUUCAGAUUUCUAUUUCAGUUAAGGA
This is a long non-coding RNA of Hyaena hyaena (striped hyena), 324 nucleotides long. RefSeq lists it as uncharacterized. NCBI's taxonomy places the organism in Eukaryota, Metazoa, Chordata, Mammalia, Carnivora, Hyaenidae. The transcript is spliced from 3 exons. The record is from RefSeq and is a predicted model, not a curated record.